AACGGACAUCAGGAGACCAACGUCGUAGAAUCAUUGGAUGACCGCGGAUAGUCCAGAAUCCUUCGAGGAUUCGUUGUAAAUCUUCUUCAGAGUAUAGCUUGCAAACAAAGAAUCCGUUCUCCAGCAUAUGAAGAUCAAAUGACGAUAUUCCCCAUCGAGUUUUGAUAAAUGAGGAUAGUGGGAAAUAAGAUGUUUUGAGACCUACCACAUAGCCAACAAUCG
RNAcentral lists this long non-coding RNA (222 nucleotides) under Musa acuminata (dwarf banana). RNAcentral describes it as "long non-coding RNA (MACU_LNC010342)". The record is from RNAcentral. Lineage: Eukaryota; Viridiplantae; Streptophyta; Magnoliopsida; Zingiberales; Musaceae.